Molecule: unclassified non-coding RNA, 204 nt
Filed under: Hevea brasiliensis (rubber tree)
Lineage: Eukaryota; Viridiplantae; Streptophyta; Magnoliopsida; Malpighiales; Euphorbiaceae
Source: RNAcentral
AUUAUUGUAUAAAUAGGCUGCCUUAUAACUUUCAGAAUUAAGAAAAUAAGAAUUAUUUAAAUUCAAUUUCUUGUCUUUUUUGUCUACAGCUUUUUUUGACCAUUAAGCCUUCACCUUUCAAAAAUUUUCUUUAAUUUUUUCCCUCUUUCAUCAACCAAAGAAGGCACCAAGAGACCAUACCUAAUCACACCCACAUUGCCAAGU